GGCUUUAUAGUCAACAAUGAUAUUAGACUGCAAAUCUGAGGGAGUAAUUUUUUAGUUACUAAGGCUU
This 67-nucleotide transfer RNA is filed under the name Parochlus steinenii. RNAcentral describes it as "tRNA-Cys". Lineage: Eukaryota; Metazoa; Arthropoda; Insecta; Diptera; Chironomidae. The record is from RNAcentral.